RNAcentral lists this ribosomal RNA (441 nucleotides) under uncultured bacterium. Its description in RNAcentral is "bacterial SSU rRNA". It matches the Rfam family "Bacterial small subunit ribosomal RNA", at positions 28 to 507 of the family's 1533-position model. The record is from RNAcentral.
GAUGAACGCUGGCGGUAUGCCUAACACAUUCAAGUCGUACGAGAGUUUUUAACUCUAGUGGCGGACGGGUGAGUAACACGUGAGAAUUUGCCUUUAGGAGGGGGACAACAAUUGGAAACGAAUGCUAAUACCCCAUAUGCUUUCGAGUGAAAUGGAUUUUAUCCGCCUAGAGAGAAGCUCGCGGCUGAUUAGCUUGUUGGUAAGGUAAGAGCCUACCAAGGCGACGAUCAGUAUCUGGUUUGAGAGGACGAUCAGACACACUGGAACUGAGACACGGUCCAGACUCCUACGGGAGGCAGCAGUGGGGAAUUUUCCGCAAUGGGCGAAAGCCUGACGGAGCAAUACCGCGUGAGGGAAGAAUGCCUAUGGUUGUAAACCUCUUUUUUCAGGGUAGGAAUAAAAUGACGUGUACCUGAAGAAUAAGCAUCGGCUAACUCCGUG